This is a small nuclear RNA of Callithrix jacchus (white-tufted-ear marmoset), 107 nucleotides long. Lineage: Eukaryota; Metazoa; Chordata; Mammalia; Primates; Cebidae. The record is from Ensembl.
CUGCUCACUUCGGCAGCACAUAUACUAAAAUUGGUACAAUACAGAGAAGAUUAGCAUGGCCCCUGCACAAGGAUGACACACAAAUUCGUGAAGCAUUCCAUAUUUUU